Suncus etruscus (white-toothed pygmy shrew) is the source of this 201-nucleotide long non-coding RNA. RefSeq lists it as uncharacterized. NCBI's taxonomy places the organism in Eukaryota, Metazoa, Chordata, Mammalia, Eulipotyphla, Soricidae. The record is from RefSeq and is a predicted model, not a curated record. The transcript is spliced from 3 exons.
GGGACACUGAGCUACUAUGUUGACCUCUGGCUUCCUGGGGCUCCCUCUGGCCCUGCGUUCUGCAGAACACGAAAACCGGGGAGCUCAGGCGGUGCGGCUGAGUCGAGACUGCUCAGCAGGAUUCUGCAUACCUUCCUUCAAGAUGAACAACAGUGUUGUGGUAUAGAUCAGAAGAUUGUCUAAAGCAUCAGCUCCCUGGGG